AGUCGAACGAGACGAUUGAAAGCUUGCUUUUGAGAGUCGAGUGGCAAACGGGUGAGUAACGCGUAGACAACCUGCCGUAAAGAUGGGGACAACAGUUCGAAAGGACUGCUAAUACCGAAUGUUGUAGAGUUUCCGCAUGGGGAUCCUACUAAAGGUGGCCUCUACUUGUAAGCUAUCGUUUUACGAUGGGUCUGCGUCUGAUUAGCUAGUUGGUGGGGUAACGGCCUACCAAGGCGACGAUCAGUAGCCGGUCUGAGAGGAUGAACGGCCACAUUGGAACUGAGACACGGUCCAGACUCCUACGGGAGGCAGCAGUGGGGAAUCUUCCGCAAUGGGCGCAAGCCUGACGGAGCAACGCCGCGCGAGUGAAGAAGGGUUUCGACUCGUAAAGCUCUGUUGUCGGGGACGAAUGUGGAGAUGGUGAAUAACCAUUUCCAAUGACGGUACCUGACGAGGAAGCCACGGCUAACUACGUGCCAGCAGCCGCGGUAAUACGUAGGUGGCGAGCGUUGUCCGGAAUUAUUGGGCGUAAAGGGAGCGCAGGCGGGAAGGUAAGUCUAUCUUAAAAGUGCGGGGCUCAACCCCGUGAGGGGAUGGAAACUAUCUUUCUUGAGUGCAGGAGAGGAAAGCGGAAUUCCUAGUGUAGCGGUGAAAUGCGUAGAUAUUAGGAGGAACACCAGUGGCGAAGGCGGCUUUCUGGACUGUAACUGACGCUGAGGCUCGAAAGCGUGGGGAGCGAACAGGAUUAGAUACCCUGGUAGUCCACGCCGUAAACGAUGAAUGCUAGGUGUAGGAGGUAUCGACCCCUCCUGUGCCGGAGUUAACGCAAUAAGCA
RNAcentral lists this ribosomal RNA (835 nucleotides) under uncultured bacterium. RNAcentral describes it as "bacterial SSU rRNA". It matches the Rfam family "Bacterial small subunit ribosomal RNA", at positions 60 to 866 of the family's 1533-position model. The record is from RNAcentral.